RNAcentral lists this ribosomal RNA (253 nucleotides) under uncultured bacterium. RNAcentral's name for it is "partial 16S ribosomal RNA". It matches the Rfam family "Bacterial small subunit ribosomal RNA", at positions 524 to 776 of the family's 1533-position model. The record is from RNAcentral.
UACAGAGGUGGCAAGCGUUGUUCGGAAUUACUGGGCGUAAAGGGCGCGUAGGCGGUCUUGUAAGUCCUGUGUGAAAUCCCUCGGCUCAACUGAGGAACUGCACAGGAAACUGCGAGGCUUGAGUUCGGGAGAGGGAAGUGGAAUUCCGGGUGUAGCGGUGAAAUGCGUAGAUAUCCGGAGGAACACCGGUGGCGAAGGCGGCUUCCUGGACCGACACUGACGCUGAUGCGCGAAAGCUAGGGGAGCAAACGGG